AUAGCUUUAGUGGCAAACGGGUGAGUAAUACGUAAGAAUCUACCUUUAGGAGGGAAAUAACAGUUAGAAAUGACUGCUAAUGUCCCAUAUGCUGAAAAGUGAAAUGUUUUUUGCCUAGNNAUGAGCUUACGCCUGAUUAGCUAGUUGGUAAGGUAAAGGCUUACCAAGGCAACGAUCAGUAGCUGGUUUGAGAGGAUGAUCAGCCACACUGGAACUGAGACACGGUCCAGACUUCUACGGAAGGCAGCAGUGGGGAAUUUUCCGCAAUGGGCGAAAGCCUGACGGAGCAAUACCGCGUGAAGGAUGAAUGCCUGCGGGUUGUAGACUUCUUUUAUUAGGGAAGAAGAUAUGACGGUACCUAAUGAAUAAGCAUCGGCUAACUCCGUGCCAGCAGCCGCGGUAAUACGGGGGAUGCAAGCGUUAUCCGGAAUUAUUGGGCGUAAAGAGUCUGUAGGUUGUUCAGAAAGUCUGUUGUUAAAGAUUAGAGCUCAACUCUAGAAAAGCAAUAGAAACUUCUAGACUAGAGUAUGGUANAGGCAAAGGGAAUUCCCCAGUGUAGCGGUGAAAUGCGUAGAUAUUGGGAANAACACCAGAAGCGAA
This 600-nucleotide ribosomal RNA is filed under the name uncultured marine bacterium. Its description in RNAcentral is "bacterial SSU rRNA". It matches the Rfam family "Bacterial small subunit ribosomal RNA", at positions 86 to 719 of the family's 1533-position model. The record is from RNAcentral.